CUGCUGUGGAGGUCUCCGUGACUGAAGCAGGAGAGGAAAGUCCGGGCUUCAUAGGGCAGGGUGCCAGGUAACGCCUGGGCGGUGAAAGCCGACGGAAAGUGCAGCAGAGAGUAGACCGCCUCAUUCGUGAGGUAAGGGUGAAAGGGUGCGGUAAGAGCGCACCGCGUGUCUGGUAACAGUUCACGGCAUGGCAAACCCCACCAGAAGCAAGACCAAAUAGGAAUCCUAGGUGCGGCCCGUACUGGAUUCCUAUUUGGUCUUGCUUCU
This 267-nucleotide RNase P RNA is filed under the name Acinetobacter baumannii. RNAcentral's name for it is "bacterial RNase P". It matches the Rfam family "Bacterial RNase P class A", at positions 20 to 305 of the family's 367-position model. Rfam says of the family: Ribonuclease P (RNase P) is a ubiquitous endoribonuclease, found in archaea, bacteria and eukarya as well as chloroplasts and mitochondria. Its best characterised activity is the generation of mature 5'-ends of tRNAs by cleaving the 5'-leader elements of precursor-tRNAs. Cellular RNase Ps are ribonucleoproteins. Lineage: Bacteria; Pseudomonadati; Pseudomonadota; Gammaproteobacteria; Moraxellales; Moraxellaceae. The record is from RNAcentral.